UACGAAGGGGGCUAGCGUUGCUCGGAAUUACUGGGCGUAAAGGGAGCGUAGGCGGAUAGUUUAGUCAGAGGUGAAAGCCCAGGGCUCAACCUUGGAAUUGCCUUUGAUACUGGCUAUCUUGAGUAUGGAAGAGGUAUGUGGAACUCCGAGUGUAGAGGUGAAAUUCGUAGAUAUUGGGAAGAACACCGGUGGCGAAGGCGGCUCUCUGGACCGAUACUGACGCUGAGGCGCGAAAGCGUGGGGAGCAAACAGG
This 253-nucleotide ribosomal RNA is filed under the name uncultured bacterium. RNAcentral describes it as "partial 16S ribosomal RNA". It matches the Rfam family "Bacterial small subunit ribosomal RNA", at positions 524 to 776 of the family's 1533-position model. The record is from RNAcentral.